This 497-nucleotide ribosomal RNA is filed under the name uncultured bacterium. Its description in RNAcentral is "partial 16S ribosomal RNA". It matches the Rfam family "Bacterial small subunit ribosomal RNA", at positions 28 to 507 of the family's 1533-position model. The record is from RNAcentral.
GACGAACGCUGGCGGCGUGCCUAAUACAUGCAAGUUGAGCGCUGAAGGUUGGUACUUGUACCGACUGGAUGAGCAGCGAACGGGUGAGUAACGCGUGGGGAAUCUGCCUUUGAGCGGGGGACAACAUUUGGAAACGAAUGCUAAUACCGCAUAAAAACUUUAAACACAAGUUUUAAGUUUGAAAGAUGCAAUUGCAUCACUCAAAGAUGAUCCCGCGUUGUAUUAGCUAGUUGGUGAGGUAAAGGCUCACCAAGGCGAUGAUACAUAGCCGACCUGAGAGGGUGAUCGGCCGCAUUGGGACUGAGACACGGCCCAAACGCCUUCGGGAGGCAGCAGGAGGGAAUCUUCGGCAAUGGACGAAAGUCUGACCGAGCAACGCCGCGGGAGUGAAGAAGGGUUUCGGAUCGUAAAACUCUGUUGGUAGAGAAGAACGUUGGUGAGAGUGGAAAGCUCAUCAAGUGACGGUAACUACCCAGAAAGGGACGGCUAACUACGUG